GACGAACGCUGGCGGCGUGCUUAACACAUGCAAGUCGAACGAAGAGCGAUGGAAGCUUGCUUCUCUCAAUCUUAGUGGCGAACGGGUGAGUAACGCGUAAUCAACCUGCCCUUCAGAGGGGGACAACAGUUGGAAACGACUGCUAAUACCGCAUACGAUCUAACCUCGGCAUCGAGGAUAGAUGAAAGGUGGCCUCUACAUGUAAGCUAUCACUGAAGGAGGGGAUUGCGUCUGAUUAGCUAGUUGGAGGGGUAACGGCCCACCAAGGCGAUGAUCAGUAGCCGGUCUGAGAGGAUGAACGGCCACAUUGGGACUGAGACACGGCCCAGACGCCUACGGGAGGCAGCAGUGGGGAAUCUUCCGCAAUGGACGAAAGUCUGACGGAGCAACGCCGCGUGAGUGAUGACGGCCGUCGGGUUGUAAAGCUCUGUUAAUCGGGACGAAAGGCCUUCUUGCGAAUAGUGAGAAGGAUUGACGGUACCGGAAGAGAAAGCCACGGCUAACUACGUG
This 510-nucleotide ribosomal RNA is filed under the name uncultured bacterium. RNAcentral's name for it is "partial 16S ribosomal RNA". It matches the Rfam family "Bacterial small subunit ribosomal RNA", at positions 28 to 507 of the family's 1533-position model. The record is from RNAcentral.